RNAcentral lists this ribosomal RNA (325 nucleotides) under uncultured Rhodanobacter sp. Its description in RNAcentral is "bacterial SSU rRNA". It matches the Rfam family "Bacterial small subunit ribosomal RNA", at positions 80 to 408 of the family's 1533-position model. Lineage: Bacteria; Pseudomonadati; Pseudomonadota; Gammaproteobacteria; Lysobacterales; Rhodanobacteraceae. The record is from RNAcentral.
CUCUGUGGGUGGCGAGUGGCGGACGGGUGAGUAAUGCAUCGGGACCUACCCAGACGUGGGGGAUAACGUAGGGAAACUUACGCUAAUACCGCAUACGUCCUACGGGAGAAAGCGGGGGAUCGCAAGACCUCGCGCGGUUGGAUGGACCGAUGUGCGAUUAGCUAGUUGGUAAGGUAACGGCUUACCAAGGCGACGAUCGCUAGCUGGUCUGAGAGGAUGAUCAGCCACACUGGGACUGAGACACGGCCCAGACUCCUACGGGAGGCAGCAGUGGGGAAUAUUGGACAAUGGGCGCAAGCCUGAUCCAGCAAUGCCGCGUGUGUGA